UCCAAACGCGCACGCAAAGGCCAAUGCGCUAAGGCACGUUUUUGGUUCGCAAAAAUGUCGAUCCUCCACGAUCUGCUAGACUUCUCCGAUGUUACACUCGAUUUCGCCAACAAUGAAUCUCGGAGUAAAGUUUUCGAAGUGCUGCGGAAUCACAAAGCAAAGGGGCCGAUCAUUUCUACAGAGCUAGAGGGAGAAAGAGGUUUCAUGUUUGUAUUUGUUGGCCCAAAUAGCGGGCAUUGGACUCUGCGUAGCUUCAAGAAUGGCCAUGCCUGUCUGGAUAUUGUAACUGUUGGAGCAGAGAGUAAUAACAAUGAUUGGUAUAAUAAUAGAUAUGAGGAAAGCAAGGCCAUUAAGGAGUCAUUGGCAAAAGUAUUUGCCACAGAAAAGAGUAGGGCUCUUCCGCCUAUCAUACGCAAAGGACCCUUAAAUCCCUACUUGCCAACAGUUGACAACCUUAUAAUGCAGUAUGAUAUAGAUAGGGAAAUUGUAAAUGUGGACUCUAAGUACCAGAACAUUAAAAUCCUGCAUUCCAACCAGUUUGGAAAUAUGCUAGUGCUUAAUAACGAUAUCAAUUUAGCAGAGAGUGACUUAAGUUAUACCAAAGCUAUCACUGGUAAUGGUAAAGAGAACUACAAGGAUAAAACAGUGCUGAUUCUUGGCGGUGGAGAUGGGGGAAUUUUGCAUCAUGUUCUAAAGGAGGAACCCAAGCAAGUGAUCAUGGCAGAGAUUGACCAGAUGGUAGUGGACCUUGCUGUAAAGCACUUGAGAGGAAUAUGUGGUGAUUCGAUGGAUUCCUUAAUUGGACCAAACUACGAGGUAAUUAUUGGAGACUGCGUUGAGAUCAUGAAUAAAUGCAUCAAUAAAGGAAAAUUAUUUGAUUAUGUUAUCAACGACCUGACAGCCAUCCCGAUAACUACUGAGGCUAGAGGCGACCAAUGGGACUUUCUGCAACUAAUCUUGGACCUAUCUAUGAAGGUUCUCUCUCCAACGGGGAAAUAUUUCACGCAGGGCAAUAGUUUUAAUGAGCUUGACUCCCUGACAAUGUUUGAGGGUCAACUGAAGAAGCUAGAGUGUCCGGUGGAGUUUACCAAAGAGACUGUGUGUGUUCCAUCAUACCACGAACUAUGGGUCUUCUAUGAGAUCUGGAAAACCAACAAGUCUUAACAACAAGAGAGAAACACAUCUUAGUUGCUAUCAAAAAAAUCAUUCAAAUUGAUCUGUGUAAAUGUGAAUAUUGUACAAAUGUGUGGGAACACCAAUAGGCAAUGACAUCACAGAAAGGUGGCGCUGGAAAUGCCUCAGGACUUGACAUUGGUCUACAGGCACAAAAUGUUGAUGGCUCAAACCUGCCAAAGCGUCACCUAAAUACCACAGGAGCCCGGUAUCUGGUUAAUAGCCCAUUGCAGACUGAUCAUGCUUUCUGUAAAUAAUUAAAUUUGCUAAACUAAGCUUUGUUGAGUAAGUUACAAGUUUCAAUUGAUCCAGUGUUUAUAUCUCAGUAUACGAUCAGUGGUUCCUUGUCUGAGCAUGCGCAUGCAAUUAAACAUGACACGCCGCAGCAUUUCCAUAUCCCAGGUGCUGCUUCCAGCGGUCAUCAUAUGGAUCCCUAAACCAGAUACUGAAAAAAAUAAUAAUAAAAAGUAAUAAUUCUUUUACUGUUUUAGAUUAAAAUAACUAACCCAAAUACCAAAGAAAGGAAAUGUUUGCU
Molecule: RNA transcript, 1708 nt
Organism: Nematostella vectensis (starlet sea anemone)
Lineage: Eukaryota; Metazoa; Cnidaria; Anthozoa; Actiniaria; Edwardsiidae
Gene name: spermine synthase
Exons: 11
Source: RefSeq, a predicted model, not a curated record